This 1430-nucleotide ribosomal RNA is filed under the name uncultured bacterium. RNAcentral's name for it is "16S ribosomal RNA". It matches the Rfam family "Bacterial small subunit ribosomal RNA". The record is from RNAcentral.
CCUGGCUCAGGACGAACGCUGGCGGCAUGCCUAACACAUGCAAGUCGAACGGAGUUGUUAUUCAGAAGUUCUUCGGGAUGGAAGGAUAAGAACUUAGUGGCGGACGGGUGAGUAACGCGUGGGUAACCUGCCCUUUUGUGGGGAACAACUUCGAGAAAUCGGAGCUAAUACCGCAUAAUAAUAGAGGAUCGCAUGAUUCUUUAAGGAAAGAUGGCCUCUGAAGAUGCUAUCGCAAAAGGAUGGACCCGCGUCUGAUUAGCUAGUUGGAAGGGUAACGGCCUACCAAGGCAACGAUCAGUAGCCGGCCUGAGAGGGUGAACGGCCACAUUGGGACUGAGACACGGCCCAAACUCCUACGGGAGGCAGCAGUGGGGAAUCUUCCGCAAUGGGCGAAAGCCUGACGGAGCAAUGCCGCGUGAGUGAAGAAGGCCUUCGGGUUGUAAAACUCUGUCCUUAUCGAAGAGAGGUAGGUAUGUGAAUAAUGUACCUAUAGGACGGUAGAUAAGGAGGAAGCCCCGGCUAACUACGUGCCAGCAGCCGCGGUAAUACGUAGGGGGCGAGCGUUGUCCGGAAUCACUGGGCGUAAAGGGCGCGUAGGCGGUUUAAUAAGUCAGUGGUGAAAACUGAGGGCUCAACCCUCAGCCUGCCACUGAUACUGUUAGACUUGAGUAUGGAAGAGGAGAAUGGAAUUCCUAGUGUAGCGGUGAAAUGCGUAGAUAUUAGGAGGAACACCAGUGGCGAAGGCGAUUCUCUGGGCCAAGACUGACGCUGAGGCGCGAAAGCGUGGGGAGCAAACAGGAUUAGAUACCCUGGUAGUCCACGCCGUAAACGAUGGAUACUUAGGUGUUUAGUAGUUUCGAUGCUACUAGUGGCCGGAGUAAACCCCAAUAAGUAUCCCGCCUGGGGAGUACGGUUCGCAAGACUGAAACUCAAAGGAAUUGACGGGGGCCCGCACAAGCGGGUGAGCCAUGUGGUUUAAUUCGACGCAACGCGAAGAACCUUACCAAGACUUGACAUCCUCCUGACAAGAUAUGUAAUGUAUCUCUUUUCUUCGGAGACAGGAGAGACAGGUGGUGCAUGGUUGUCGUCAGCUCGUGUCGUGAGAUGUUGGGUUAAGUCCCGCAACGAGCGCAACCCUUAUUUCUAGUUGCCAGCAGUAAGAUGGGGACUCUAGAGAGACUGCCAGUGACAAACUGGAGGAAGGUGGGGAUGACGUCAAAUCAUCAUGCCCCUUAUGUCUUGGGCUACACACGUGCUACAAUGGUCAGAACAGAGGGAAGCGAAGCCGCGAGGUGGAGCAAAUCCCAGGAAACUGAUCUCAGUUCGGAUUGCAGGCUGCAACCCGCCUGCAUGAAGUCGGAAUCGCUAGUAAUCGCGGGUCAGCAUACCGCGGUGAAUACGUUCCCGGGCCUUGCACACACCGCCCGUCA